This 711-nucleotide unclassified non-coding RNA is filed under the name Hevea brasiliensis (rubber tree). The record is from RNAcentral. Lineage: Eukaryota; Viridiplantae; Streptophyta; Magnoliopsida; Malpighiales; Euphorbiaceae.
UAUAAUUGCAUUGUACUCUGUUUGGAGGGAUGAAAAUCGCAACACGUUGAAUUUCAUAACUGAGGUUUGUACCUCGGGGAAUUUGAGAGAGUAUAGGAAGAAACACAAACACGUAUCGAUGAAGGCAGUGAAGAAGUGGUCUAAGCAGAUCCUUAAGGGAUUGAACUAUUUGCAUACUCAUGAACCUUGUGUUAUCCACAGGGAUCUCAAUUGCAGUAAUGUCUUCAUUAAUGGCAAUAUUGGUCAGGUUAAGAUUGGUGAUUUGGGUUUUGCAACUAUAGUAGGGAAGAGUCAUUCAGCACAUUCGGUUCUUGGAACCCCAGAGUUCAUGGCACCGGAGUUGUAUGAUGAGGAUUAUACCGAGCUGAUUGAUAUCUACUCGUUUGGGAUGUGUGUUUUGGAGAUGGUGACGUUGGAACUACCUUAUAGUGAGUGUGAUAACGUGGUGAAGAUAUACAAGAAGGUAAUAUCCGGAGUGAGGCCCAAGGCCAUGGACAAGGUUAAAGAUCUCGAGGUCAAGAAGUUCAUUGAGAAGUGUCUUGCUCAGCCUAGGGUUAGACCCUCUGCUUCUGAACUCCUUCAAGACCCUUUCUUUAAUGAUAUUAAUGAUGAUGACGAAAACGACGAUGAAGAGUAUACUAGUAACAACUAUUGGCAUGCUUAAGUCAGCCAUAGCUAUUAUUUGCUAGUUGCUAUUAUAUUAGUUAGUUG